This 293-nucleotide ribosomal RNA is filed under the name uncultured bacterium. RNAcentral's name for it is "partial 16S ribosomal RNA". It matches the Rfam family "Bacterial small subunit ribosomal RNA", at positions 505 to 796 of the family's 1533-position model. The record is from RNAcentral.
GUGUCAGCAGCCGCGGUAAUACGGAGAACUCAAGCGUUACCCGGAAUCACUGGGCGUAAAGCGUUGCGUAGGCGGUUUGUUAAGUGAGAUAUGAAAUGUUACGGCUCAACCGUGAAAGUGUAUCUCAAACUAACAAACUAGAGGAUGGUAGAGGUCAGUGGAAUUGCUGGUGUAGGAGUGAAAUCCGUAGAUAUCAGCAGGAACACCAAUGGCGUAGGCAGCUGACUGGACCAUUCCUGACGCUCAGGCACGAAAGCGUGGGGAGCGAACGGGAUUAGAAACCCCCGUAGUCC